RNAcentral lists this ribosomal RNA (508 nucleotides) under uncultured bacterium. RNAcentral describes it as "partial 16S ribosomal RNA". It matches the Rfam family "Bacterial small subunit ribosomal RNA", at positions 30 to 523 of the family's 1533-position model. The record is from RNAcentral.
AUUGAACGCUGGCGGCAUGCCUUACACAUGCAAGUCGAACGGCAGCGGGGGAGAAGCUUGCUUUUCCUGCCGGCGAGUGGCGAACGGGUGAGUAAUACAUCGGAACGUGCCCUGUAGUGGGGGAUAACUAGUCGAAAGAUUAGCUAAUACCGCAUACGACCUGAGGGUGAAAGUGGGGGACCGCAAGGCCUCAUGCUAUAGGAGCGGCCGAUGUCUGAUUAGCUAGUUGGUGGGGUAAAGGCCUACCAAGGCGACGAUCAGUAGCUGGUCUGAGAGGACGAUCAGCCACACUGGGACUGAGACACGGCCCAGACUCCUACGGGAGGCAGCGGUGGGGAAUUUUGGACAAUGGGCGAAAGCCUGAUCCAGCAAUGCCGCGUGUGUGAAGAAGGCCUUCGGGUUGUAAAGCACUUUUGCCCGGAAAGAAAUGGCUCUGGUUAAUACCUGGGGUCGAUGACGGUACCGGAAGAAUAAGGACCGGCUAACUACGUGCCAGCCGCCGCAGUAA